GAUGAACGCUGGCGGCGUGCCUAAUACAUGCAAGUCGAGCGAACAGACGAGGAGCUUGCUCCUCUGACGUUAGCGGCGGACGGGUGAGUAACACGUGGAUAACCUACCUUUAAGACUGGGAUAACUUCGGGAAACCGGAGCUAAUACCGGAUAAUAUAUUGAACCGCAUGGUUCAAUAGUGAAAGACGGUUUUGCUGUCACUUAUAGAUGGAUCCGCGCCGUAUUAGCUAGUUGGUAAGGUAACGGCUUACCAAGGCAACGAUGCGUAGCCGACCUGAGAGGGUGAUCGGCCACACUGGAACUGAGACACGGUCCAGACUCCUACGGGAGGCAGCAGUAGGGAAUCUUCCGCAAAGGGCGAAAGCUUGACGGAGCAACGCCGCGUGAGUGAUGAAGGUCUUCGGAUCGUAAAACUCUGUUAUUAGGGAAGAACAAAUGUGUAAGUAACUAUGCACGUCUUGACGGUACCUAAUCAGAAAGCCACGGCUAACUACGUG
Molecule: ribosomal RNA, 497 nt
Filed under: uncultured bacterium
Lineage: Bacteria
Description: partial 16S ribosomal RNA
Rfam family: Bacterial small subunit ribosomal RNA
Source: RNAcentral